AUGCAUUGGUUGGCAUGGCCGGAAAUUUUAGCACAUAAGACCAAGGGAGGCUUGGGCUUCAAAGAUUUCCAUCUCUUCAACCAAGCUCUCCUUGCUCGACAGGCGUGGCGCCUGUUAAUUAAGCCUAACAGUCUAUGUGCGCAGGUACUAAAAGCUCGGUACUAUCCAGACGGUCGCCUUGAGGAUACAAUAUUCUCGGGGAAUGCAUCCUCGACCUGGCAGGCCAUACAGUGUAGCCUCGAGCUCUUGAAAAAGGGGAUCAUAUGGCGUGUUGGAGACGGCCAAAACAUCCGGAUAUGGCACGACCGAUGGGUAACGAGGGAACCCUCGCGCCAACCUAUCAUGCAGCAAGGCACCUGCCGGCUGAGGAGAGUGGCGGAGCUUCUCGCGGCGGAUGGGUCCUGGCGUAUGGAUCUUCUCCGCCGAUACUUCCUCCUGGCGAACGUCGAUGCGAUAUCCAGCAUCCGCACCUCGCCGCGCUGCACCAACGACCACUACAAAAAAAAAUACACUUCCGUGAUGAUACGUGUUUGUCAUAGUAGGUCGCGUUUUUUGUCAUGCAUGUACAUCCAUGACGAUUUUAUGACAGAAUCAAGAUAG
RNAcentral lists this ribosomal RNA (600 nucleotides) under Triticum aestivum (bread wheat). RNAcentral describes it as "partial small subunit ribosomal RNA". Lineage: Eukaryota; Viridiplantae; Streptophyta; Magnoliopsida; Poales; Poaceae. The record is from RNAcentral.